RNAcentral lists this ribosomal RNA (506 nucleotides) under uncultured bacterium. RNAcentral describes it as "partial 16S ribosomal RNA". It matches the Rfam family "Bacterial small subunit ribosomal RNA", at positions 29 to 523 of the family's 1533-position model. The record is from RNAcentral.
AGUGAACGCUGGCGGUAGGCCUAACACAUGCAAGUCGAACGGCAGCACAGGAGAGCUUGCUCUCUGGGUGGCGAGUGGCGGACGGGUGAGGAAUACAUCGGAAUCUACUCUGUCGGGGGGGAAAACGUAGGGAAACGUACGCUAAUACCGCAUACGACCUACGGGUGAAAGCAGGGGACCUGCGGGCCUUGCGAGAGGGAAGGAGCGGAUGUCGGAUUAGCAAGUGGGCGGGGUAAAGGCCCACCAAGGCGACGAUCCGCAGCUGGUCUGAGAGGAUGAUCAGCCACACUGGAACUGAGACACGGUCCAGACUCCUACGGGAGGCAGCAGUGGGGAAUAUUGGACAAUGGGCGCAAGCCUGAUCCAGCCAUACCGCGUGGGUGAAGAAGGCCUUCGGGUUGUAAAGCCCUUUUGUUGGGAAAGAAAUCCAGCUGGCUAAUACCCGGUUGGGAUGACGGUACCCAAAGAAUAAGCACCGGCUAACUUCGUGCCAGCAGCCGCCGUAA